This 484-nucleotide long non-coding RNA is filed under the name Dermacentor andersoni. RNAcentral's name for it is "uncharacterized LOC126520648". Lineage: Eukaryota; Metazoa; Arthropoda; Arachnida; Ixodida; Ixodidae. The record is from RNAcentral.
ACUGAAGUUGGAAUGUUGCGCUCACAGUUUGCACUCGUACAGGUUCUCCCUUCAGCAAAAGUGCAUUCACCAAGGCUUCCGUGACAGAAGAAAGAAAUCUUUUGCAGCUAUGUUAUGUAACCUCAAAUUGAGUCUUAAUCCGACUAUGGGAACAUCGCAGUGCGCUUCGUCUGUUUAUAUUCGAUUGUGUAACCAAGGUACAUAGAAAUUGAGGAGUUUCAUAGAACAUGUCUGUAUACCCUUUCUCACAUGCUUACAUAACCACGACGAUAUGUGCAUUAUCCCGCAAUUUGCAGAUCGGAAUCUCUGCGAUUAAAUGCGCAGAAAUUACUUUUGACCAUGUAAAACCUAAGAUGUUCCUAAAUGUUGGGACGAAUGUGGUGUGCUUUCACAUGUUUCUCUCGCUAGUGCUUGUGCUGUUGCAUUUAAUUUACGUGCCGUGUCCUGUAGCACGAUAUGUAAAUAAAUGCUUCCGUUCAUCCCA